RNAcentral lists this ribosomal RNA (456 nucleotides) under uncultured Leptolinea sp. Its description in RNAcentral is "bacterial SSU rRNA". It matches the Rfam family "Bacterial small subunit ribosomal RNA", at positions 916 to 1381 of the family's 1533-position model. The record is from RNAcentral. Lineage: Bacteria; Bacillati; Chloroflexota; Anaerolineae; Anaerolineales; Anaerolineaceae.
GACGGACCCCGCACAAGCAGCGGAGCGUGUGGUUUAAUUCGAGGCUACACGAAGAACCUUUACCAGGGUUUGACAUGCAAGUGGUAGGAAUCCGAAAGGUGACCGACCCUUCGGGGAGCUUGCACAGGUGCUGCAUGGCUGUCGUCAGCUCGUGUCGUGAGAUGUUCGGUUAAGUCCGCUAACGAGCGCAACCCUCGUCGUGUGUUAUACGUGUCACACGAUACUGCCGGUAUCAAGCCGGAGGAGGUGGGGAUGAUGUCAAGUCAGCAUGGCCUUUAUAUCCUGGGCUACACACACGCUACAAUGGCAGAUACAAUAGGUUGCGAAACCGCGAGGUGGAGCCAAUCCUCAAAGUCUGUCUCAGUUCAGAUUGUAGGCUGCAACUCGCCUGCAUGAAGAUGGAGUUGCUAGUAACCGCAGGUCAGCUAUACUGCGGUGAAUACGUUCCCGGGGCUU